GACAGAGGGUGCAAACGUUGUUCGGAAUUACUGGGCGUAAAGCGCGUGUAGGCGGCUUGGCAAGUCGGGUGUGAAAGCCCUGGACUCAACCUAGGAAGUGCACUCGAAACUGCCUCGCUUGAAUGCCGGAGAGGAAAGCGGAAUUCUCGGUGUAGAGGUGGAAUUCGUAGAUAUCGAGAGGAACACCUGCGGCGAAGGCGGGUUGCUGGGCUGACACUGACGCUGAUGCGCGAAAGCCAGGGGAGCGAACGGG
RNAcentral lists this ribosomal RNA (253 nucleotides) under uncultured bacterium. Its description in RNAcentral is "partial 16S ribosomal RNA". It matches the Rfam family "Bacterial small subunit ribosomal RNA", at positions 524 to 776 of the family's 1533-position model. The record is from RNAcentral.